This 463-nucleotide ribosomal RNA is filed under the name uncultured soil bacterium. RNAcentral describes it as "bacterial SSU rRNA". It matches the Rfam family "Bacterial small subunit ribosomal RNA", at positions 62 to 519 of the family's 1533-position model. The record is from RNAcentral.
UCGAACGGCAGCGCGGGGCAACCUGGGCGGCGAGUGGCGAACGGGUGAGNNNNNNAUCGGAACGUACCCUGGAGUGGGGGAUAACGUAGCGAAAGUUACGCUAAUACCGCAUACGAUCUAAGGAUGAAAGUGGGGGAUUCGCAAGAACCUCAUGCUCCUGGAGCGGCCGAUAUCUGAUUAGCUAGUUGGUGGGGUAAAGGCCCACCAAGGCAUCGAUCAGUAGCUGGUCUGAGAGGACGACCAGCCACACUGGAACUGAGACACGGUCCAGACUCCUACGGGAGGCAGCAGUGGGGAAUUUUGGACAAUGGGCGCAAGCCUGAUCCAGCAAUGCCGCGUGAGUGAAGAAGGCCUUCGGGUUGUAAAGCUCUUUUGUCAGGGAAGAAACGGUGCUUUCUAAUACAGAGCGCUAAUGACGGUACCUGAAGAAUAAGCACCGGCUAACUACGUGCCAGCAGCCGCG